GUAAGGAUGAUAUCUUCUCUUGAGUGUGUAUGUACAUGUGUGACUGUGUCUGUAUGUAAUGGGUUUCUAUUGUCAAACAUCACUCUGGGGAAGAUCUGGAAUAUUUUAGCGUGAGGGAGUAAAUAACUUUCCUUGCUUUGAAGGCAAACGGGAGGGUAGGGUGAGGACUUUGGGGCUACAGUUACCUAUAAAUGGCUUUUGGUGGCCCUGUCCUGUGGAGAAUCCUGGAAAAGCUCAGUUGGUAGUUAGUAAAUCAUUAACCAUAGGUUUUUGCUAAAAUCCUGUGUAAUUUGUGGCCCAAUGUUAGCUGGAUUUCAGGGAUAAGGGCAGAGUGUACAUUCACUUUGGGUCAGAGGAUUAAAGGAGCUUGUCUUCUCUGCCCAGACUGGCCUCCUCCCCUCUGAACCUGGUUGGUGAUGGCUAUAUUUCUUCAAGGGGAAAGGGGUCUGGGUGUCUUGGGCUGAGGGCUCCUGACAGAACAGGGAGCAAUGGUUAGGUGCCAGCUAACAGUGCAGGCAUGCGCUAUGGAGACAAAUGUCACAAGGACAGUUUUUCAGAAGGGGUGGACAACCUUGUUUUGGGAACUCUCAGUAUCAGGAGACCCCGCUUAUUUUUGUGGCAAGAUAAAGUUUCCAGACAAUGAAUUGCAUCUUCUGCUCAAGUUAUCAGGAUGCUGCUCCAUUAGGCUUUUCAGUUGGUCUCACCACCCACGAGGAUAGUGCUGCUUCCAGUGUUUCCCAGUUUCUUGUUUCUUCCUCUAAAUUUGAAAGUCACUGAAGGAACUCUUGUUCUGAUUUUAUCCAUCACUAUUACUCCUUCUAGGGACACUUGAUUGCUUUAUAACAAAAAUGCUGGUAAUACCAAGCGCAGCUAGUAAUUAUUGAAGGGUCACUACAUACCAGGCACUAUACUAAAAUGAUCAUAUGUGUUUAAGAUCAUGUCUUUUAAUUCUAACAACCCUAUGUAGAGAUAUUAUUAUUUCUUAAAUAAUGGAUGAGGAAAUUAAGGCUUAGAGGGUUUAACCUUUUGCCCAGUUAUCAUGCAUAGAUCAGAGCCCUGCUCAGGUCUGCCUGGCUUCUAAGUCAGAUCUCUUAGCCUCUUAGGUGCAUGGCUUUAUGAAUCUAGUUAUUACUAUACUUGGCUUCUUAAAAUAUUAACUGUGAAAAAAUUGAUGGGUUAAAGUGUGUGUUGAAAUUGUUAUUUGUUACAGGACAUUUGGAAAUGAGGAAUAUCAAAAAAAUGUGGGAAAACAAGCAAAGCAGAUCAGAGAUAGACUAAUGGUUGUAUUCCAGAGGGAGUUCGGUAACCUGGCAAGAGACUGGCAGUGGGAAUUGGAGUAAGAGAAGGCUGUGAGCAGACUUUCUUCUUUCUGGUGCUACUUGGAGGCCCAGAGACAGUGUUCUGGAGCAAAGUAAAAGUAGCAGCAUCAGAUGGGUGGGUGUGCAAGGCACAAGCUUUUUACAUUUGUGCGAGUGACUGGAGAGCAGAUUCUGGCUGUGUUCCUUAAGUACUGGAGAACAUGUUCUUAUGUAGGCAAGAGUCAGUUGUUUCUAAACCCAAGAUGUAUUUUCAGACUUUAGCAGCCUUCUCCACCUCCCUCUCCAUCCAUGUCACACCUCUGCCCGAGGGACAGAGUAAUGAGGAAGCUUUCUUGGAAGGCAUAUUAAAAGGAUUAGGUCAUUGAUCACUAAUGAGAUGUCCAGGAUCUAGUAACAAAUAGCAUCUCAGACCCUAACCUUGACGAGUUUGUGUUGAGAUGGUAACAGAAAUCAAAGAAUACAGAGACAGCAACUUCUUUUAUGACAGGCUGAACAGACAUAGUAAAUAGCAUUGAUAAUAAUAAAGAUAUGUAAUGAGCAAGAUUUUACUUUUUCUUUAGAGUAGAGCUGGAUGUACCUGACCGCAAUGUAGACUCAGAUUGUAGAUUUAAAAAUAUGAGAGGUUAUGCAAAUGUGGGACUCAGCAUAAUCAAUCAGCCAGCCAGCCCUGAGUGUAUUGAAUAGCUCUGACUAAUACAGUCAGCUCUGUGUGCCAUGCCAAAUGAUGACACAGUCUUUGACCUUCUCUAGAGAGGUGAAGAGGUGGAGAGGAGACAGAUGAGGGCCAGUUGAGAAGAGAGAUUCUAUGGACAAAGGAAUUCAGCAGUUAGCUUAAAUUAAGAGAAAAGAGAUUUUGGUUGGGAAUCAGCUCUAUUUGUGACUUUGCCAUAGUAGUGGAGUGAACUUGAACAGGCAAAAUUCUCUCUCCAGCCUUUCUAUUAUCCAUCUGUAAAAUGAAGGAGUUGAAGAUGGCGAUCUCUAAGGUCUUUCUAGAACUAAUGUUCUAAUAUAAUGGGACCUGUGGGUCUAAAUUAUUGGAGGAGUUAGCUCCUAAGUGGGCUAGAAAUGAGCAACAUGGACAGUGCACGCGUGAGUGUAUGUGUGUAUGUGUGUAAAAUAGAGAGAAAGCAAAGUAGGUGUGAGGUUUGGG
Molecule: long non-coding RNA, 2469 nt
Organism: Heterocephalus glaber (naked mole-rat)
Lineage: Eukaryota; Metazoa; Chordata; Mammalia; Rodentia; Bathyergidae
Source: Ensembl